Molecule: ribosomal RNA, 408 nt
Filed under: uncultured bacterium
Lineage: Bacteria
Description: partial 16S ribosomal RNA
Rfam family: Bacterial small subunit ribosomal RNA
Source: RNAcentral
GACGAACGCUGGCGGCGUGCUUAACACAUGCAAGUCGAACGAAGUGGCGAACGGGUGAGUAACGCGUAAUCAACCUGCCCUUCAGAGGGGGACAACAGUUGGAAACGACUGCUAAUACCUCAUACUGAAGGAGGGGAUUGAGUCUGAUUCGCUAGUUGGGGGGGUAACGGCCCACCAAGGCGAUGAUCAGUAGCCGGGCUGGGAGGAUGAACGGCCACAUUGGGACUGGAAAACGGCCCAGACUCCCACGGGAGGCAGCAGGGGGGAAUCUUCCGCAAUGGACGAAAGUCUGACGGAGCAACGCCGCGGGAGUGAUGACGGCCUUCGGGUUGUAAAGCUCUGUUAAUCGGGACGCGGUACCGGAAGAGAAAGCCACGGCUAACUACGUGCCAGCAGCCGCGGUAAUAC